RNAcentral lists this long non-coding RNA (1025 nucleotides) under Homo sapiens (human). Its description in RNAcentral is "non-protein coding lnc-PDZD7-11:1". Lineage: Eukaryota; Metazoa; Chordata; Mammalia; Primates; Hominidae. The record is from RNAcentral.
AACUUGCCAGAGAUGUCGCCUCUUUCCGCUAAGGCACAAAACUUGCAGAGCCAGGUGUUCCCCAGGCGCUUCCCCGCACGCCACCGCCCGCGCCAUCCCCCCAGCCCCCACCAGCGUGGUGAGGGUGUCCUCGGUCCCCAAGGUCUGCAGUCUUGGCCCUCUCUGAGUCGGGUUCAUCUCUCGGGCUUCCAGGCUUCUUUUUGAGGGGCGCUCUCCAGCUUCGGGCUCCAGUUCUGCCCAGUCCGCACAUCGACCCCCCCGGUCACCAGGGCGCCAGGGGCUGGGCUUCGCCAGGACACCCUCAGUUAUACCAGCACGGCUGCGCAACACUUCUUUGGAGCCUUCGCGGUGACGAGCAGCCGGGCGAAGCGGCCCUCCUCCUCACGACAGCCCGAGGAGGGGGUCAGGGUCAUUUUCAGACAGCCCCCUCUGGCUUCCUCUUCACACCCUGCUCUAGAUGGAGGAGAGAGGUACGCCCAGCCCGGCUCAGCUAAAAGCAGGGAGAAGAGCCCGGCCGAGACCUGGAAGCCUCGGCUUGGGAGGAGCUGGUCCGACGGACCCUUCCUGCCCCGGUUUGUCCGGACUCCGGAUCUCCGGGUAGGAGCCAGAAGAAAGCGCAUUCCAGGGAUUUCAAGCGAACUAUACUUAAAAUCUUGGAGGUGGGAAAUGUAGGGUGCGACUGAGCCUCUCCCGCCUUCAGGCCUGGCAACUCUGGGUCGGCGCUCCUGGAACCUCACAUCUCGGGUGUGAGCAACCUAGGACACAAAACGCGGGGAUGGCUUGGAAGCCCGUGGGCAGGCGAAACCGGGAGUUCUGGCAGCGGCUCAGCCUCCCCCUCCUCCUCCCUCCCCCUCCCUCCCCCUCCCCUGCCUUCCCCCGGGAGCAGCGGGAAAUUAUUUAUUAAAACGCCGCCCGCGCUCUCAUUUAUUUGCGGUGAAUAAUCCUCGGCAUCUCAGCACGUUUAUUAAACCUUUCCCGUCCCUGCGCCCGCAUUACUUUAAUAAUAAAUCGCGUGUCACUUUCCA